GAUGAACGCUGGCGGCGUGCCUAAUACAUGCAAGUCGAGCGAACGGACGAGAAGCUUGCUUCUCUGAUGUUAGCGGCGGACGGGUGAGUAACACGUGGAUAACCUACCUAUAGGACUGGGAUAACUUCGGGAAACCGGAGCUAAUACCGGAUAAUAUUUUGAACCGCAUGGUUCAAAAGUGAAAGACGGUCUUGCUGUCACUUAUAGAUGGAUCCGCGCUACAUUAGCUAGUUGGUAAGGUAACGGCUUACCAAGGCAACGAUGCAUAGCCGACCUGAGAGGGUGAUCGGCCACACUGGAACUGAGACACGGUCCAGACUCCUACGGGAGGCAGCAGUAGGGAAUCUUCCGCAAUGGGCGAAAGCCUGACGGAGCAACGCCGCGUGAGUGAUGAAGGUCUUCGGAUCGUAAAACUCUGUUAUUAGGGAAGAACAUAUGUGUAAGUAACUGUGCACAUCUUGACGGUACCUAAUCAGAAAGCCACGGCUAACUACGUG
RNAcentral lists this ribosomal RNA (497 nucleotides) under uncultured bacterium. RNAcentral describes it as "partial 16S ribosomal RNA". It matches the Rfam family "Bacterial small subunit ribosomal RNA", at positions 28 to 507 of the family's 1533-position model. The record is from RNAcentral.